RNAcentral lists this ribosomal RNA (788 nucleotides) under uncultured archaeon. RNAcentral describes it as "bacterial SSU rRNA". It matches the Rfam family "Archaeal small subunit ribosomal RNA", at positions 1 to 770 of the family's 1478-position model. The record is from RNAcentral.
UUCCGGUUGAUCCCGCCGGACCCCACUGCUAUCGAGAUGGGACUAAGGUAUGCUAGUCGAACGACCAGAACUAUGUCUGGGAGUGGCACACUGCUCAGUAACACGUAGCUAACCUACCCUUAGGACGUGGAUACCCCCGAGAAAUUGGGGUUAAUCCGCGAUAGAUGUAAUGUCCUGGAAUGGUAUUACGUCUAAAGGUAUUUCAUACAUGUUUGAAAUAUGCCUAAGGAUGGGGCUGCGGCCGAUCAGGCUGUUGGUGAGGUAAUGGCUCACCAAACCUUUGACCGGUACGGGCCAUGAGAGUGGUAGCCCGGAGAUGGACACUGAGACAAGGGUCCAGGCCCUAAGGGGCGCAGCAACCGCGAAACCUCCACAAUGCACUCACGUGCGAUGGGGCUAUCUCGAGUGCCACCUGAUGAAGGUGGCUUUUCCUAGGUCUUCAAAGCCUUGGGAAUAAGAGGGGGGCAAGACUGGUGUCAGCCGCCGCGGUAACACCAGCCCCUCGAGUGGUGGGGAUGAUUAUUUGGCCUAAAGCGUCCGUAGCCGGCCGAGCAAGUCUUCCGUUAAAUCCAGCGUCUCAAGCGUUGGACUGCGGGAGAUACUGCAGGGCUAGAGAGUGGGAGAGGUCAGCGGUAUUCUGGGGGUAGGGGCGAAAUCCUUUGAUCCCCGGAGGACCACCAGUGGCGAAGGCUGCUGACUAGAACACGUCUGACGGUCAGGGACGAAAGCUGGGGUAGCGAACCGGAUUAGAUACCCGGGUAGUCCCAGCCGUAAACGAUGCAUGCUAG